GACAGAGGUGCCGAGCGUUAGGCGGAAUCACUGGGCUUAAAGCGUGUGUAGGCGGACCGUUAAGUGACUUGUGAAAUCCCCCGGCUCAACCGGGGAAUUGCUGGGCAUACUGGCGGUCUUGAGCAGUCUAGGGGCAGAUGGAACAAGUGGUGGAGCGGUGAAAUGCGUAGAUAUCACUUGGAACGCCAAAGGUGAAGACAGUCUGCUGGGGACUUGCUGACGCUGAGACACGAAAGCCAGGGGAGCGAACGGG
RNAcentral lists this ribosomal RNA (253 nucleotides) under uncultured bacterium. RNAcentral's name for it is "partial 16S ribosomal RNA". It matches the Rfam family "Bacterial small subunit ribosomal RNA", at positions 524 to 776 of the family's 1533-position model. The record is from RNAcentral.